CGGCAACAGCUCAAAUUUGAAAUCUGGCCUCUUUGGGGUCCGAGUUGUAAUUUGGAGAGGAUGUUUCGGGCACGACCCGGGCUUAAAUUUCUUGGAACAGAAUGUCACAGAGGGUGAGAAUCCCGUCUGGAGUCCGCGGUACGACCUAUGUGAAACUCCUUCGAC
This 165-nucleotide ribosomal RNA is filed under the name Cyphellophora oxyspora. RNAcentral describes it as "partial large subunit ribosomal RNA". It matches the Rfam family "Eukaryotic large subunit ribosomal RNA", at positions 99 to 261 of the family's 3401-position model. Lineage: Eukaryota; Fungi; Ascomycota; Eurotiomycetes; Chaetothyriales; Cyphellophoraceae. The record is from RNAcentral.